UUGACACAUUUUCUAACCUCAAUUUUGAUUGCCAAAUAAAUCAAAAUCCAAACAUCUACAAAAUAUUCAAAUCCACAGUACAGUCCAAAUCCUAAAUCAUGAUCGAAAUAACUUGUAACGAUAGAUUGGGAAAAAAGGUCCGUGUAAAAUGCAAUCCUGACGAUACUGUAGGUGAUUUAAAGAAACUGAUCGCCGCACAAACAGGGACCCGAUGGGACAAAAUAGUUUUGAAGAAGUGGUAUACAACUUUUAAAGACCACAUUCAACUACAAGAUUAUGAAAUUCAUGAUGGAAUGAACUUGGAAUUGUAUUAUCAAUAACUUAAGAUUUAAGGGUACUGUUGAAUGAAGCUUGGAGAGAAUGAUUCUUUAGUUUAUAAGCACUAACUAUUAAUAAAUAAAAAUUACUAAUUAUAUAUCUAUUAUUUUAUUCAAACAAAACAAUAUUGGUUAACAUUUGGCAGAAAUAUCACGUAAAUAAACAAAAAUUAUGCAAAA
This is a long non-coding RNA of Sitophilus oryzae (rice weevil), 497 nucleotides long. RefSeq lists it as uncharacterized. NCBI's taxonomy places the organism in Eukaryota, Metazoa, Arthropoda, Insecta, Coleoptera, Curculionidae. The transcript is spliced from 2 exons. The record is from RefSeq and is a predicted model, not a curated record.